AUUUCAUUGCAAGUAUGAUUGAUCCUUAACUCUAAGGAUAUAGUUCAGUCAUUGUCUUUACACUAACUCUAGUAUUCUUUAUAUCACUUUAUUUUGCUAACUCUAGCAAUCAUUAUUUUUUAACUUUACUCAUUCUUUAUGCUACUUUCAUUCUCUUUACUUAUCUCUACUCAUUUUCAUCGUUCUUUGCGUCACAUUUCUCUUAGAUGCCACACACUA
RNAcentral lists this long non-coding RNA (219 nucleotides) under Ananas comosus (pineapple). RNAcentral describes it as "long non-coding RNA (ACOM_LNC021221)". Lineage: Eukaryota; Viridiplantae; Streptophyta; Magnoliopsida; Poales; Bromeliaceae. The record is from RNAcentral.